GGCGAACGGCUGAGUAACACGUGGGCAACCUGCCCUUUGCACUGGGAUAGCCUCGGGAAACCGAGGUUAAUACCGGAUACUCCAUAUUUGUCGCAUGGCGAAUAUGGGAAAGCUCCGGCGGCAAAGGAUGGGCCCGCGGCCUGUUAGCUAGUUGGUGGGGUAGUGGCCUACCAAGGCAAUGAUGGGUAGCCGGGUUGAGAGACCGACCGGCCAGAUUGGGACUGAGACACGGCCCAGACUCCUACGGGAGGCAGCAGCA
Molecule: ribosomal RNA, 259 nt
Filed under: uncultured Atopobium sp.
Lineage: Bacteria; Bacillati; Actinomycetota; Coriobacteriia; Coriobacteriales; Atopobiaceae
Description: partial 16S ribosomal RNA
Rfam family: Bacterial small subunit ribosomal RNA
Source: RNAcentral